AUACGGAGGAUGCGAGCGUUAUCCGGAUUUAUUGGGUUUAAAGGGUGCGCAGGCGGCCAUUUAAGUCAGCGGUUAAAUCGUGGGGCUCAACCCCAUUCUGCCGUUGAUACUGGGUGGCUUGAUUGCGGUCGAGGUUGGCGGAAUUCGUUGUGUAGCGGUGAAAUGCAUAGAUAUGACGAAGAACACCGAUUGCGUAGGCAGCUGACCAGACCGCAAAUGACGCUCAUGCACGAAAGUGCGGGGAUCGAACAGGAUUAGAUACCCUGGUAGUCCGCACAGUAAACGAUGAAUACUUGUUUUCGGCGAUAUAAUGUCGGAGGCAAAGCGAAAGCGAUAAGUAUUCCACCUGGGGAGUACGCCGGCAACGGUGAAACUUAAAUGAAUUGGCGGGG
Molecule: ribosomal RNA, 392 nt
Filed under: uncultured bacterium
Lineage: Bacteria
Description: partial 16S ribosomal RNA
Rfam family: Bacterial small subunit ribosomal RNA
Source: RNAcentral